UUUCGCCUACGGGAGGCAGCAGUGGGGGAUAUUGCACAAUGGGGGGAACCCUGAUGCAGCGACGCCGCGUGGGUGAAGAAGCGCCUCGGCGCGUAAAGCCCUGUCAGCAGGGAAGAAAAUGGCGGUACCUGACUAAGAAGCCCCGGCUAACUACGUGCCAGCAGCCGCGGUAAUACGUAGGGGGCAAGCGUUAUCCGGAUUUACUGGGUGUAAAGGGAGCGUAGACGGCGGCGCAAGCCAGAUGUGAAAGCCCGGGGCUCCACCCCGGGACUGCAUUUGGAACUGUGCCGCUAGAGUGUCGGAGG
RNAcentral lists this ribosomal RNA (305 nucleotides) under uncultured bacterium. RNAcentral describes it as "bacterial SSU rRNA". It matches the Rfam family "Bacterial small subunit ribosomal RNA", at positions 333 to 655 of the family's 1533-position model. The record is from RNAcentral.